GACGAACGCUGGCGGCGUGCUUAACACAUGCAAGUCGAACGGAAAGGCCCUGCUCUUGUGGGGUACUCGAGUGGCGAACGGGUGAGUAACACGUGAGUAACCUGCCCUUGACUUUGGGAUAACUUCAGGAAACUGGGGCUAAUACCGGAUAUGAGCUCCUGCUGCAUGGUGGGGGUUGGAAAGUUUCGGCGGUUGGGGCUGGACUCGCGGCUUAUCAGCUUGUUGGUGGGGUAGUGGCUUACCAAGGCUUUGACGGGUAGCCGGCCUGAGAGGGUUACCGGCCACAUUGGGACUGAGAUACGGACCAGAAUCCUACGGGAGGCAGCAGUGGGGAGUAUUGCACAAUGGGCGGAAGCCUGAUGCAGCAACGCCGCGUGCGGGAUGACGGCCUUCGGGUUGUAAACCGAUUUCGACUGUGACGAAGCGUGAGUGACGGUAAUGGGUAAAGAAGCACCGGCUAACUACGUG
RNAcentral lists this ribosomal RNA (468 nucleotides) under uncultured bacterium. RNAcentral describes it as "partial 16S ribosomal RNA". It matches the Rfam family "Bacterial small subunit ribosomal RNA", at positions 28 to 507 of the family's 1533-position model. The record is from RNAcentral.